RNAcentral lists this long non-coding RNA (1385 nucleotides) under Anser brachyrhynchus (Pink-footed goose). RNAcentral describes it as "lncRNA (ENSABRG00000001808.1)". The record is from RNAcentral. Lineage: Eukaryota; Metazoa; Chordata; Aves; Anseriformes; Anatidae.
CCUUGAUAUUAUAAUAUGUAUUUAUUGACACAUUUCAAUUUAUUAUUCUACAGUUCCAAAAGUACCUGUGAGAAAUGGCAGGGUAUCAAUAAGUUUGAUUGAGCAAUUUGUGCAGAAAAAGGUUACCAAAUAGCAGCUGAUGCGUGGUGGCUGCCCGUGUGCGUCCUCUUGGCAUCCAACAAGCAGGCGGCAAUCGGAGUGGGCUCAGCCCCCAGCACAGGUGAUUGAGGCGAGAUUGCCUCACCUUGUGUUUGCUGUGGGGGGAUAUUGAGCAUGCAGGCAGUUCCUGCAGCUCAGCAGAAACUUGAUAUCUUGUGGUAUCUUGUUUGUGUGUCUAAGCCACGGAUGUGCAUGCCUUGCUAGUUCUGUUAACAAUUGAAAACAAAUGUUUAUUUAAAUUUAUUUACACAUCCCACACACAGAUUGAGUGUAGGUGUGCUGGCAGAAGUGAGACUUUAGGAAGGAUUUCAUAAAGGUGAAGGAAAUGGCUUAGCAGCCAGGUUUCAAGGAGACUCCCCAAAUGCAAGGAGCAACAUGAGACUGCGGAGGCAUUUGCGAUGGUAUCGAGGUAGGCGCUGCUGGCAGAGCAGGUGGAGUUUGUGAGGCAGAGGAGCUGACCUCAGUUUCAGAGUUUGGAAUAUUGCUGAAGAUCUAAAUUCCACAUUACUUCAGAAGAUGAGCAUGACUGAAAAGUAAGCUAGCUGUGUUUUCCAAGAGCUGUUUGAUCCAAAGUGGGCAAAACCACCUUAGAAACAUGAGAAAAAAAAGAAAAGAUUCUUUGCUGCUGCUGCUUUCGAAGGAAAUGUUGGACAGCCUACAUCCUGCAACAUUACUAAUCAGCAGCAGGAUGAAAAGAAUAUUGAAAAAGUUGUAUCAACGAAAAUCACCAAAUCUGGACUACCAAGAAGAGAAACUCCCCCAAAGUAAUCCUUCAUAGACUGUCUUGGACACUUGGAAGAAAACAAACAAACAAACAAAAAAACCAGAACAACAACAAUCCCUAAUCACAACCUCACGAUCAGAACUGCCUAAUCAAUUUCCUUUGAAGAGUUUGCAAGCAACAGGCACUACUUUUAGUGCUUGAACUGCAAGUGAAAUGAGUUAUAAACAAGACUUGAACAAAAGUGGAGUUGAUAAAUUUAUUUUCAUUACCCAUUAAAAAAGACACACAAAAACAAACAAGCAAGGUAAUUUUUAAAAUCUUAACCUAACUCCCUUUUACUUUAUCUCUUUAUAUCUUUUUAAAAAUGCUUAAAUUAAUAGUUACCUAAGAAGCUCUGUAAGUGUAAUAUUACACUGUAACUGUAAUCUUGACCACUUGCUUAGUAUUAAGAAAUCAUUGCUUAAAUGGUUCUAUUAUUCAAAAUAAAUGGAUAUUUUCAGUA